AGACAUCGUGGAAACUAAUCGGCCUGUUAGACCUACUGCUAACGUCGUUGAUAUUAUUAACAACCGGCCGUCAGUGGAAGCUAUUGAAAUUAAUAGACCAAUUAGACCCACCAAUGUUGUUGAUAUUAUCGAGACUAAUCGACCAUCAGUGGAAGCAAUUGAAAUUAACAGGCCUGUUAGACCCACUAAUAUUGUUGAUAUAGACAUUAAUCGGCCCGCAUCGGAAAUUGAAAUCAGUGAAACAGUUGGACCGACAAAUAUUGGUA
Long non-coding RNA from Achroia grisella, 266 nucleotides. RefSeq lists it as uncharacterized. NCBI's taxonomy places the organism in Eukaryota, Metazoa, Arthropoda, Insecta, Lepidoptera, Pyralidae. The record is from RefSeq and is a predicted model, not a curated record. The transcript is spliced from 4 exons.